Molecule: ribosomal RNA, 218 nt
Filed under: uncultured soil bacterium
Lineage: Bacteria
Description: partial 16S ribosomal RNA
Rfam family: Bacterial small subunit ribosomal RNA
Source: RNAcentral
AGGGAUGAACGCUGGCGGCGUGCUUAACACAUGCAAGUCGAACGAUGAAGGCUGGAGCUUGCUCUGGCUGGAUUAGUGGCGAACGGGGUGAGUAACACGUGAGUAACCUGCCCCAGACUCUGGGAUAAGCGCUGGAAACGGCGUCUAAUACCGGAUACGAGCUUCCACCGCAUGGUGAGGAGCUAGGAAAGAAUUUCGGUCUGGGAUGGACUCGGCGG